UUUUGAUUUCUUUGUUGAAUCCUAAUGUUUUUAAAAAGCGUACAAUAUUGUUCUCGUAACUAGCCUUGAAAAAGAAACGAUUUGUUUCGAAACGUCGGCAUUGUUACACAGUGAACAAUAGAUAAUAAACAGUGUCCAACACU
Molecule: long non-coding RNA, 143 nt
Organism: Coccinella septempunctata (seven-spotted ladybird)
Lineage: Eukaryota; Metazoa; Arthropoda; Insecta; Coleoptera; Coccinellidae
Exons: 2
Source: RefSeq, a predicted model, not a curated record